Molecule: long non-coding RNA, 16307 nt
Organism: Peromyscus californicus insignis
Lineage: Eukaryota; Metazoa; Chordata; Mammalia; Rodentia; Cricetidae
Exons: 3
Source: RefSeq, a predicted model, not a curated record
CAGGCACACCAAAGCUGAGGGAACUUUUGGAGUAGUGAAACCUCUCUGACUAGAACCAAAAAAUGUGUAUUAUUUUGGUCUGUUGGAGACUUUGAUUAUUGUCAUCCAGGGUGAUCUGAGGAACACAAGUUACAGGUCCAAGCUGGAUGUAGACAUUUACUCAGCAGAAACAGGACACUUGCAUAGUUCCUGUUUCUUCAUGCCCAUAUGAUAGAGCAGGACACAAUUUCUCCAAAGUUCCCAUCUCCAUUUCUUUACAGUGUCUGAGAGGCCCGAGAGCAUCCAGUUCCUUGCCUGGAGACAGGUGGGUGGACACCAGUCACAGCUCAAAAGCAUCUGUCCUCACUCUACUGGUAGGCUCUAAUAAUGAUUUGGCCAUAGACAUCCCUGCUUGGGACAGAACCACACAGAGUCUUCUUUUCUUCUUAGCUCCUGUUGCUCUGUUUUGAAGCAGCUUGGAGAAAACAUGCUAGAGGUCAGUCCUUCACACAGCCAGUCUGUGUCAGCGACGCUCUGGAGAGGAGGCUUGCCCUGGUUUGAUUUGGGUAGUUUGGGAAUACCGUGCAAGGAGCAAUCCAAAAACAUAGAGUCAACUGUUGAGGAGACAUUUCUCCACACAGCUGACUCCAAGCACAGAUAUUACAGAGCUGAUUACAAAGUGCAACACAGAGUUUGGAUGGCACAUGCUACAUCUCAACCCCACCACUACCCUUAGACGUGUGGGUGGGGCAGCUACAGAAAGGCUGCAAUACCCCAAUGAUUGGCAGUCUGAGAGGAAAUAGAGGGAGAAACCCAGGUCAGCAUCAUCAUUCUCAAGGUGGGCCCUGUGCACAGAAAGCCUCCUUCCUGCUGCACUGAAUGCAGUUAAUGAGAGCUAGUGGGAACCGUAGCCAGAGAAGAAAGACUGGGAUGAUGCCACGCGGUGGAGACAGCAGGGCUAGUGUCAAGGUGCUCCUUUUGAGCCUUGAUGUGAGUCGGGUAUACUGGGUAUGUGUUCUUAAACAUGUGACUGAAAACCCCCAGUGUUAGAACCAGAAUGAGCUGUAGCCCAGGACAGUAGCAAGGGAGGAUCAACCUGUUCCAACUUGGAGAAUCAGGAAAGAGUGCCUGGAGAGGGUGGAUUUGCAUUCAGAGUUUUAAAACAUUCAUUCAUUCACUCAUUCACAUUUAUUAGAAUCCACGAUGUAUCUGGCUCUGUAUGGGGUGCCUGUGGACGGACAUCGCUCCAGUUUCUGCAGAACACGCAGCCUGCAUUCAUUUCAGACUGGAGGUUUGAUAGGAUCAAAUAUGUGGCGUCCCAGGCGGCAGGAGGCAAAGUGAGAGAGCAAGAUGGCGGAGAUGGAAUCUACUGUACCUGGCGCGCAUUAGCUACCACGUUUGUUGUCAUGACAAAGUGCCCACCAAAGGCAACUUGAGAAGAGAGGUUUAUUCUGGGCAACCACGAAGGUGUGUCCAUUGUGGCAGGAAGGCUCAGCAGCAGGAGCUUGAGGAAGCUGUCACGUGGACUCCACACCAGGAGGCAAGGGAGACAAACCUGGCACUGAGCCCACUCUCUCCUUUUCAUCCUGUUCAGGACCCUGCUCAGAGGAUGGCGCCACCCAUGUUCGGGGAAGGUCUUUGCUCUUCAGCUAAACCUUUCUGGAAAAACCCUCACAGACACAGCCAGAGCAUAUUUCCACCGUGAUUCUAAGUCCAGCCAAACUGACCAUGCACAUUCACCAUCACAGGGCAACUGGAACAUGAAAGAGAUGGUGGUUAGGGGUGGGACUGGAGCACGGAGGAGUUUAAGCAACAGUAAACAAUGUACAGUUCAUUCCGAAGGCCGGAAAGUAGGAGCUCACAUUUGGCUUAAUGUACAUUUUAGCUUGAAAAAUUCAGUGGUUUCCUAUUAGGCAAAGGACACACUAUUUCAAUUACAUCUAAAUUAUAAUAUAAAGACUGAAACCUUCAGCAGGGGCCCUGAGGCCUUGUCUAGCCUCUACAGCCUUAUUCUGGACUAUCCCACCAUUCCUUCAUGCUUCUGGGGUCAGGGAUGGAUACUCUGUCACCACCCACCACCGGGCCUUUGCAUGGUUAGUGGCCUUUUCUAGAAACUCUUUGUCUCUUUGCUUAAUUAACAGAUCAUUCUCCAAUCUCAGCUGAGCCAUUGUUUUGUUCUCACAAUUUCUCAUGAUCCCCACUCCAACCCAGGCCCACUCAUGUAGAGUAUGUAAAUAUCUGUUAGUGACUGACUCCUCAAUUGCUGUUUCUCCUUUCCUCGUUUACCCUCGAGGACAAAGACUCUUUUGUUUAUAGUUUUAUCUUUGGUGCCUGGCAUAUGGCAGACAUGCACCAAGUGUUUAUUUUAAAGACAAGAGAAAAAGCUGGGUUGGGGAGAUAGCUCAGGGGUGUGUGUGUGUGUGUGUGUGUGUGUGUGUGUACAAUCUCUGUAAGGUCAGUCUUCCUCUAGUGCAGUGGUUUCUCAACCUGUGGGUCACGAUCCCUUGAGGGUGUCACAUAUCAGACAUCCUGUAUAUCAGAUAUUUAUAUUAUGAUUCAUAACAGUAGCAUAAUCACAGUUAUGAAGUAGCAAUGAAAAUAAUUUUACAGUUGGGGGUCACCAAUCAUAAACUUUGAGGACAAAAUAAUGGCUCAUCUGAGAUCUGGAGAAUGAUCUGUUUAUUAAACAAAGGGAGAAAGAGCAUGAGGCACUGUAUUAAAGGGUUGCAGCAUCAGAAGGUUGAGAAUCUCUACUCUAGUGGCUGACCAGGCCAGAUCUGGAGGGCUCAUUGCUUCAGGGGGCUUCUUCACCUGGCUCCGAUGGGAGAAGAUCCUGUUGUUUUCCAUGAGCUAAUUAAGAGCAAGGCCUGGCCUAAGCUCAGGGAGGCCAAGGCAUAGAUUGAGUGAGGAUGUGGGUCAGAGAUCCAGGGAGUUUCAACUCGGUGUGAAUGAAGGGGUUAACAUUCAAAUGACAGCAAAGUGACAGCCUGAGGAAAAUUGCUUUGUCACAAUAGUCUCUGAAACUGUGGAGGCUCAGAAUGAGUGGGCUGGUGAAUUGUUCUUCCUUCCUCUUGGGACUGAGAGAAGAAAUGGGCUCCCUCCACAGGAGGAGAGAUUGAAGCAAAUCAUCUCUCGACAAGCUUCCACAGAGCGCUUGGAGACGGACUCUCAAGGGCGGGCAACCCUCACAGAACUGGCCCAAAGCCAUGGUGGCAAAUCUGACUCCAUUAUCCCAGGGCAAGGAGUGCUGUGGUUUCCUCCAACCUGUCCCCUGGUUUGGCAUGAACGUGGUGGAUGGUCAAGACUGUCUACACAGCCAGCGAACGGAUUAAAUUGCAGGAACAGUGAUUGAACAAGCAAGGGAAACACCAUUAAGACUCAGGAAGUAAGCAACUCAGAAGCCUCAGGAAGUCCCCGAAACUGAGAAGAUAUACUAGGUCCCUCCCUCUAGCAUUCGUGUGCAGCAAAGACUAGGGAGAGACUCUUCCAGACCAACUGAGCUGCCUGGAAGAGUCAGAGACCAGCCAAACAGUCUGAAAGAGAAAAAGACCUGUGGAGCUUUCUGGAAAACUCUCAGAUCAGCUGAGCUGCCUAGAAUAGGCAGAGACAAGACAAGCAUCUGGAAGAGACAGAGGCCACACAAACUGCCUGAAAGACACAGAGAGCAGCAGAGCAGCCUGUAAGAAAAUUCUCUCACCUGCUGAAUUGCCUGCAAGUUGUUUAGUGAGUUCCAGGGUCCCUGCUUUGGUGGCCUGUCACCCAUGUUUGUCUGGGCUUUUGGGGAUCAGCUGUCUUUGAGUCAUUUCUGCCCCAGUAAAUGACCUUUCACCUACAUUCCUGUAACCCUGACAAAGGUCAUCGGUUCACCAGGUUGGCUUACGUUCGCCAUUGGUUCCCUCUCUGUGGUUAAUAGACGCUCCUGCGUAUUUUCCCAGGGACAAUGUCACAUGAGAUUUUCCGGUGACAGGAGUGUCAGUCCAGAAUCUUAUACAUAGUGAAAUUGCAUUUCAAAAAUUAAAAGGAAACAGACAUUUCUCAGAUAAAGGAAACCUAAGGGAAUAUGUUACCACAGAUCUAUCUGAGUAAAUGACUAAAUUUAAAUUAAAGGGGGUUAUUGAAAAAGAAAGACAUAAAGUAAAAUUUAAAAUAAAUAAAUACUGUUAAAAAAGAAAAAGAAAGACAAUUUUUUUUAAAGACUCUUCAAAUAUUUUGAAGAAGAAAAAAAAUACCUAAAAAUACAAGUUCAAGAGACUUCUUCCUCUCAAGUUUCCUAAACUUUAUGCAGGAAGAAUUAUCAUAGUAUUCGAUAUGAUUAUCAAUAUAUGUAAAGAAAAUAUUCAUAGCACCUGUAUUAUAUGUGAGUGAGGGUAAAGGGAUUUAGAGGCAAGUAAGAUUUCUAUAAUUUAUUCAGAUUGGUAAAAUGUUCCCAUUUGUAGAGUUUGAUGAGCCAGAUACACACACACACACACACACACACACACACACACACACACAAAAAUGCCAUAGUGGAUCAAAUCAAAUCAAAGUAGAAUCUUGAAUCUGUCAUGUGCCUGAUGGGAAGUUAGGAAAAAGGACACAGAAAAGUGAGAAACAGAGGAAAAUGAAAAUGAAAAGAAAGUUGCAAACUCAAGUCUUGGCCCAGCAGUAACUGUACUUUGUACAUGGUCAGCCAUCCCAUUCGUACCACACCAUUUUAAUUGUUUUUAUUGCACUUGUACAUUUGUUUACGUGUGUUUUCAAUAUAAAAGAAGUUUUGUUUUUUACCUCAGUGCAGAAAAUAGUAGCCAGCAAGGGACCUUAUUUUAGCACUGUAGCUCCAAAUGUAGAGACAAGCUGGGAAGAGGAGAAAAACUUGGACCGAUGUGAUUUCCUCUGGAUUUGCGUUUGUUUCCGAGAACUUGCACAGAGGACGUGGCUGAUGCCCUCAUUUGGCUGCGAAGCAUUUGAGGUUGUUUGUACUAGAAAAAAACAAAUCCUUGUGAAAAGCUGGUGGGCUGCUGUCAGAUUGCUCUGGGCUAACCCUCAGAAUGCCGUCAGCACAAAGAUGGAACUAGCAGCUGAUGUAUUGUGGUAAUUACUCAAUACAGUGAAGGCAAAGGGGGGGGGGGUAACAGUGAGAAACGUUUUCCCACAAAAAUGUUACGUUUUCUUGGGAUUUUGUGUUUUCCUAUGCUCUGCCAGCAACAGACUCAGUGUUGAUGUCUAGUUAUGGGUGUUGAAACCUUCCACAGUUCAUUAGUUCUCCCUUUGCAAGAACGUGGAAAUUCUACUAUGUUCUAAGAGGGAACUCAACUCUGUGGCUAGCUGUGUAGAGAACAUUCUGUGUAACCUGUGUGCUAGUGAGGCCGCCUGAGCUGCUAUCACAGCAGAUCAGUCAUAUUGACUCCUCUCUGGAGAAAGGGCACCCAUAAAAGGCUCACGCAGAAAGAUGUCCACGUGUCGUUUGCCAGUCCCCACCACACCUCACCAAUGGUGCAAGAGGUUGCAGGUUGGAGCUGGUGCAGCCCUGGCACUGCACAGCUGUAAUCUACUCCGGUCUCCUCUCCUUUGGCAGAGACAGCUCACUCUUCUCUGUGACUGUGUCUUUCCUUCCAGCAAAGUGUCUGUGCCCUUAGGAGAUGCCCUGGGCUCUUGCAUAAGUACAGGGGAAUUGGGUUCUUCUUUCUGCUAAAAUGACAAUGGCUUAAAGAGAGGGAAAGGAACCCUGGUGUGGCUGAGGAAGACACUUCUCAAAUCUCUUUCUCUCCCCCCACCACUCUGCCAUUCCUUUUUCCCAAAGGGCCUUGCCAAGGUCGUCCUGCAGAAGGAGAGAUGGCCAAAGGGUGCGUGUUUCCCUCCUGCUCCAAGUCUGCACUGGAUUCUACUCACACCCUAAAUACAUGGAUGUUCCUGGGUACAGGGACUCUGUGAAAUGGAGCUGGAGCUCCUUACCUGAACUGGAAUGAAACUUCAGUAGAGAGCAGCUAUGUGUGCUUUUGGUGGUGUGGUACCAAUUCCUAGAAGGAGGAGAGAACAUGUACUAGGGGACAGGGUGGCUCAUACUUUGUAUUUCUCCAUGAUCCCCUAGGAUAUAGAGCCCCAGUUUCCACCUCAGGAGCUUAUCUGGUCCUGGAGUGUGAACAGGAAGCCACCCUAGUGGGGGGGUCAUUGGACAUGAGUGGGAUCAGUUACUUAGUCAACUGUCACUACUCUGGUUAUGACCGACUUCAAAAGGCAAGCAUAGAAGGAGCAACCCCAGAGGGUCCGUGUGAAGAGCACAUCCCCCACAUAUAUCUCAAUUCCUCCAUUCCCCUGAGGCCUCCUUCUUGUAAAAUUUGAAGGCUGAUAUUUUUCUGUGUUCCAGCUUUGGAGACCACAAAGUUGAAUCAAACAGGGAAGGGCCAGGGGGUCGAAAGAACACUAUAAGAACAAAAUGAACAGCGGGAUUAGGAGGGCUCUCUGUCUUCAGCUUCUGCCCCACUGAGCCUAAUCAGUAUCGUAACUCACUUGAGAUCCUUCUGAUUCAGCCUCUCACGCUACCCUCUGACCCUAGCAGGAUCCUGCCAGCUGUUUAGUAAGGGAUGCUUUUGUUCUGGAAACCUCAAGGACAAAUCAGCCAGACACUGAAAAGCAGUCCCAGAUCCUCACCCACUCUAAACAGAAGAUAAGAUGUCCUCUUUUAGACAAACCAGACUCAAUCACUAUGUUAUUGUAUCAACAGUAAAUACCAUGUUAUGCCAACAGGAAACGUGUCAUUCUUGUUUACUUAAUCUCUCCACUUUGCACAGAUUUCAGAUAAAGUUAAACAGAUGUCUUCUAGCCCCAGUUUUUUCUUAUAGACUUCCAAAAAAUCCAUUUAUACUUUGAAGGCAUUUGUUGAGUGCUCUCUCUCUCUCUCUCUCUCUCUCUCUCUCUCUCUCUCUCUCCCCCUUUCUCCCUCUGUCUUUCUCUCUCCACUCUCUCUAUGCUGGCUUCGAUUUCAGACUAUGUAGACAAAGUUAGCCUUGAAAGCCUGGGCAAUCCUCCUGUUUCAGCCUCCCAAGUGCUGGGAUUAUAAGAGUGAGCUACCACAUUUGGCUUUGACUCACCCCAUUGAUUUCCUCUUUCAUCUCCCCAAAAGAUCAUGUUUUAUAAAUAAUGAAAUGUCCACAGAUUCUUACAGAGCAUUACUGGCUACACAAUAUAUCAUGAACUAUUAUAUAAUAAAGUGAAGCCUUUACAUUUUACAAAUAACUUUUCACUUCAUUACCUGGAAAAUUCACAGCCUCAUGAGGAAGUAAUUUUUAUUUUCAACAUUUUAUAGAUGAAGACACUAGAAUUUAGAGACCCACCUAAAAUGACACCAUGAAGAACCACGUUCAGGCUCCCUGACUCCAGACCCGAUGUAUAACUUUCCCCCUUGGCCAAUGACUGUGGCUGUGCUGAGGAGAGUGCUGGCCUUGGGUUCCAUUCCCAGCACUGCGUAAACUGGGGCUUGAUGGUGUGCACGGGUGAUCUCAGCCCUUGGGAGGUGGAAGCAGGAAGAUCAAAGUCAUCCUCUACUAUAAAGAGAGUUUGAGGCCAGCCUGUGCUACAGUGGGCUACAGGAGACCCUGUCUCUCUGUCUCUAUCUCUGUCUCUGUUUCUCUGUCUCUCUGUCUUUCUGUCUCUCCGUCUCUCUCUCUCUCUCUCUCUCUCUCUCUCUCUCUCUCUCUCUCUCUCUCUCUCACACACACACACACACACACACACACACACACACACACACACACAGAGUCAAGGUUGAUCAUGAACACGAACUAUUGGUAACCAUGCCAACUACAUUGAUAAUAAAAGGGCUUCCAAGCCAGUUCAGGGACUUUUGAAAGUAAUGCUACUGGAGCAUUCAAACACAAUGAUCUCUGUGUGGUAUGCCAGCAGUGGGAAGCUAGGGAGAAGACCUGUGUGCUCUUUCAGAGCCUCCUAGGCCUAUACAGCCAGUCAUCAACCAGAAGGCCACACCUGUUCUUAAUGCAGGUCUCCAAUUGGGCUAUUUAAAUUUCCACCAUGACUAAGCUAUUAUGUAUACUUAGGCUUCAAAACUACAGAAGCCUGGUGAUUGAUGUGAGAAGUCACCCCACAGGUAAAGGUGAAGAGGCCCUGGUACCAGGCUGCGAUCUAAUGGAGCCUGUUGCUGUGGAAGCUCAAGUUCUCCUCUCCCGGUACUGGCUCUCUGCAGCCCACUGGCCAGCAGGAAGCAAAGCACUAACAUGGUUAAUGUGGUUAAGGAAUCUUCUAGGACAGGCAUGGCUACUUUGGGGAGACACCUCUGUCCCUGCCAGGCAUAGUCACAGAGUGAUGUCAGGAGAGGGGAGGUAGGGGAACCUUCACAGAGAAGGACUUUUGUAUUCUAGGAAGACAUUUUUCCUAUGGAGUGCUCCUUUGUAGGGGAGAAGUGAGCUUUUCAAAGGUGACUGGGAUGUCUCCCUUAACAUUGUUCUGUUUAUUAAUCAGUUUUCCAGAGUGGCCUGUGUGUCAGACUGUACUAAAUGACAGGGGUGCAGUGGUGAAUUAAAUACCAGACCUGGACCCAACGAUUCCUUUGGUCCCUGGGAGAGUGGGAAGGGAAUGAAGUUUAGGCACGAUGACGGUUUGAAAGAGAACAGGAGAUGCAGAUAACAAUUCCCGGGAGCUUUGAUUGAAAGUUGCCAUGGUGAGAGGGUGAGUGGCAGUCCCAGCCAAUCCUUCAACUGAACCACCAAAGCAACCUUGGAAAGCCCCAGGGUGGGCCAGAAAGACAUCCGAAGCCACUCCAGGCUCACAUGCCAGCAGAGGGGGGAUAGGGGACAAUGGGCAAGAGACAAAGAGACCCUGGACAUGCGGGGUCUGCUGUUUUCUGCCAUCUCAAGGAUGCCUGGGAAGGUCAGGGAGAGAUGGUUUUUAUCUGACAGGAAUGGAUGGUAUUUGGAAGUACUGUGGACAUUGCUGAGUCAGACUGGGAUUAAAUCAAAUUACACAUUCCACCAAUUAAGCCUCUUACUCACCAGGAAGUGGGAGCACAGGAAGAGAGAGGGCAGAUGAGUUGAAAGAUGCUUGUUUAUUCUCCACAUAUCUAUCUCCGACAAAAAUUUGCUAUGAUUUCAAGAUUUUGUGAAUGUAUAGAAGGCACCUUUAGAUUCCUGUUUAUAUCCUUUCAGCCUUUACUGAAGGUUACAGGCAGACUGCCUAGGCAUGUGGUUAACUUUCCAAGUCUCUUGACUAGUAUGCCAUCAGCCAAAGAAAUGUGCCCUUCCUGAAAGUAGAUGGGUCAGGCCAUGGCCUCAGAAGCGACUGAACAGCCAGUGAGGAACUGGAGCUGGUGGAAAGCUCUCCAGCUUUCUUUCCUCCUCAGAGGACAGAUCUGAGGGGUGGUCUUAAGGAUUCCAUAAAAAUUCAGUCCUCAGCCCUGUGUUCCUGCAUCUUCUUGCUAUGACAGAGCCGCCCCACCCAUGCUCCUUGACCCCGAAAAGGCUGCUCUGCCAUCAGAGAAUUCAUGCCUGGAACCCGGCAUCCUACAAACCCUGUAACUGAUGCUACCCACAGCUCUGCAGACCAGAAUGUGUGACCACACCACUACUUGCCCUUCUCAAAGGCUCCAAUGCAAUUUUCCUUCCACCAAAAUAGUCUCCUGGAGCUGUGGGGUUGUACCAGAGGCUCGGCAGAAAGGACUUACCCACAAAGCUGGACCUUUCGAAGCAGGAACCAGUACUUAAGUGGGCCUGACCCAAAACCCCUGAAAAUGACCAAGUGACAGUUUCCUGAAUCUUCAUAAGGCUUAUCUUCUCUACAGCUCACAUGUCUUAUAAGUCCUUGAGCAAAUUGGGUGCCCUUGUUGUCCUGUGUGAGCAGUAUUAGGCCAUUCCACCAAUGGUCCUAUAAGGGACAGUCAGGCCUAACAGGAGAGUGGUCACCACUCUGCCAGCAAAGUGUGCAGACUCCAACCACAUGUUCUGAGUGGUGUGGUCGGCUCUGCAUAAACUCAGUCAUUCUAAUCCUCGUUUCUAGGUCAGUGUUAUCAGAAUGUGGCCAUAAAGGUUUAUCUGUACUCUCUGGCUACAGCAUACCUCUGCUACAGCAGCUAAAAUUUGAGUUACUACUUGGCUGUGCCCCCGUGAGUUGGAUACAGCAAGGAAAUCAUUUCUUCUCUUAGGACCUACCUGGUUUCUACAGGAGUAAGACUAGUAAAUUGCUCAGUUACCUAAUUACUGCCACUACUUCUGUGUAGCUGGGUGGCAUCCUCCUCCUCCUUUGGCUACCUUCUUUUUCCCUCCCAGAUUUCUCCUUCUAUGUAUUCUCUCUCCUGCCAGCCCCGCCUAUUCUUUCUCCUGCCUUGCUAUUAGCUGGUCAGUUCUAUAUUAGACCAUCAGGUGCUUUAGACAGGCAAAGUAACACAGCUUCACAAAGUUAAACAAAAGUAACACACUUUAAAAUAAUGUUCUACAAUAUUACCUGAGUCCUAUAGGAAGGGCCAUGAUAAUAUGCUGUGAGUCUCCAGCUGAAGCUUCCUUCAGACCCUGCGUUCACAGCCCUCAAAAUCUCUAUGUAUCCUAAUUUCUGCAAGAUAUAACCACAUAAUAAUUUCUAGAAGGACAUUCUGGGGAGCUCAAAGAGUCUGUCUUUGCUCUGGCUUCAUAGAACUUCGCCUCCUGGGUAUUUGGCUCUGCUCUGGACUGGUGACACAGUUAGAAUGACUGGCCUGGGACAAUCCCUUGCUUUUUGGUCCAUUUCUUCCAUUGAGUUGUGGAUGCUUAGCGAACCUUUGCUAGCCUUCUAUCCGUUUUCUUCCGAGAAUACCAUGCUUUUUUAGCCAGUUCUGUUGUGUGUCAAACCACUUUGUCCAUCAUCAUGAUUACGGCAAAGUGGUGGUGGUUUGUCAAACCUGCCCUGUAUUCGGGGACCACAUCUUUCUCUGCCUGUUAAAGCUCCACGGCUGCCUCUCCAGCCUAGUGACUUGCAUAUUCCCCCGGCUCUGCCCUGCUUCUGUGAUGCAUCCUCUUGUGGUGGGUCUUCUGGCCUCACAGAAAUGUAUUCUCUGCCCCCUUGUCCCGUCGUCCACUCUGGCGAAGAGACCCAGGCUCUUCUGCAUCCUGCAUUGGUUAGUUCUUCUGCAAGUGUCAAAGAGCCACCCUUGAAGCACAUUUUCACCUCUGGGCUUCUCAUCAGAAUGUUAAUUCUCAUGUCACAAGAGAGUAACCCUAGAUCAGUGAAUCCUUGUCCAUCCAGCCUUACCCACAUUUCAGCCCUUCUGGGUAAGGACUUUGAAAGUCUCCUCCCAAUGCUUUGUUCCUGGGACACAUGUCAGCUGCUCAGUGAAUUUCUUAGGCAUGGAAUUUUGUCCAUCUUUAUCAGACUCAGAAAGCUCCUGGUGGACUAUGAUAGAGUUUAUCCCCAGUUAUCAACCAGGACCAGAGCCAGGCAGAUCCUGGAAAGACAUCAGUUGUCUUUUAGGUUUCUUCAGUGUUCUCAAACACAGUGAAAGUUAUCCACGGGGAUCUUCAGAGACAAUGCCUUCAGGAAUAUUCACCCAAGUUUCCCAAAUACAUGUCUUAGGAUCUCAAAGUUAUCCCUACCAAGAUUCUAACUUUAAACUGACAAGCCUGCUUUUGCUUAGCAUUCAGUGACCUUGAGCUGUGUCUGUUCUGGGCCUUCAAUGUGUUCACCAGCUGUGUGUGCUUUUCCACUGAAGGAGAUAGAUGUUUCCUCAGCCUUAACUACUUGUUGUCAGUUACCCACAGAAGCGUUAUCCAUCGUCAAGGUAUCAGUACAAGUUAGCAGAACCCAGCCAGUUCUGCAGACCAUUUCCCCAAAGUUUUCUAAUACCUGAAUCACUGCACUGCUUGUGAAGUGACCUCUUUAUGUCUAUGAGACAUGAUCCCAUUUAUCACUGGAGAAAUUGUUAGCGAACAAUCUAUAUUUGUGCCAGGGACCAUCCAUGUCUACCUGUCACUCUGAACAGCAGCCUCUUCUCCUGACCAAUGACAAGCAUGCCAGUCCCAAAUUCCUAUUUCACUUUUCUGAGAACUCUCUUGGCUGCCUAUGUUCAUUAGGUCCUUCAGGAAGUAGACAUAAAGAUAAGUCAAACUUGAAAGAGAUUUAUUGGGGGAAGCAACCAUGAAGAAAAAGCUUGCAUUUAUUUAAAAGUUCUAAUUCAGAUAAAUAAUUUCCCUACCAGUGACUGGACUCAUAAAGGAAUUAAGGCAAGCAAUUCCUGAGGUAUGUUGGUCUUCUCUGAGCCACGGCUUUCUCUCAGAUUCUUCAUUGUUGAGGUCUAAAUUUUCUGAGAACAAGACAAGGAAAUUGUAAGGAAAUGUCCUACUUGUUCUUUUUACAAUCAGACACCAUUACUAGCAGGAUGUAACCCAAAGGGUACUCGGAGGAAUGAAAUCUGACAGAUGGAUGUGUUUCACUUUGCAGAAUUUGGAAAAUUGAAAUAUGUACACCAUACCAUUGAUACUUAUUCAGGAUUUCAAUAGGCAACUGCUUUGAGUUCUGAAAAAGCUGAUUCUGUAAUGACACAUUUACUAGAAGUUACGGCCAUCAUGGGUAUACCUGCACAAAUUAAAACUGACAAUGCUCCAUCAUAUGUCUCUGUUAAAAUGAAACAAUUUUUUUCUUAUUACAAUAUAAAGCAUAUUACAGGUAUACCACAUAAUCCUACAAGCCAAGCAGUUAUACAAAGAUCAAACAGAACUCUAAAGGAUAUGCUAAAUAAACAGAAAGGGGUAACAAAAACCCCCAGAAACAGACUGCAUAAAGCUAUAUUAACUUUGAAUUUUCUUAAUGCCAAUGAGAAAGGAACAACAGCUGCAGAGAGACAUUGGAUAAUAGAAAAAACUGCCAAAUUAAAUCAGCCUAUAUACUUUAAGGACGUGCUGACCUCAGAAUGGACACCAGGGUAUGUGUUACGUUGGGGACGAGGUUUUGCUUUUGUUUCUACAGGAGAUGAUAAGCUAUGGGUACCAUCAAAAUCGAUAAAGGUUCGAUCUGAACAAGACAGACCUCUUAAUUAGAAGAGGUAAUAGUUCAUCAACCAGCAUGACCAUCCAAUUUAAACUAACUUAUACCAUUAACACAUGCCUUUUCAUUUAAUCAGAUAUAACUUGCCAAAAGGGAACCUCCCCAAAGUUAGUCUUGGGAAAAGGUUUUUGUUUUUGUCUUUUAGGAGAAUGAAAUCUAAGGAAUCUGAAGAACACUGGACAAAUGAGACAUCUGAAGAAAAAGGACAAAUGAUCUAGAAAAAAAUGUCCCAAGAAAAAGAGUAAAAUGGCCUAUUGGUAUAUCAUCUAUAAAAUUUCAUAAGUCUUCCUAAAUGUUGUUUCUGCUCUUCUCUAAAGACAUUUAACACUAUUGUUCUUCUUGUAAUCCCAGUUCAAUUAAAAAUUAAAGCUGACUUUGGAGUUGGAGAAUGGCUCUCUCCUUCUUUAAACCCAAGCAUGUUGUUAAAAGGAAAAUGCAAACUCCUUGUAUCAUGCCGGAAGAAAGAGCCAUCUUCUGAUAUGGGACAGGAGAAAACAAACAAAAAAAAAUUAAGGGACUAUUCUAUUACCACUAAUCUCAAUUUUUUGAUUCUAUUCUGAUCUUUUAAACUUUUCUUAAAGUAUGAAUUUUAUAUCAAAAUUUAUAAGAUUAAUGUAUAUAUACAUAUAUAUUUUAAACUUUGUUAAGAUAUUAAUGGUCAUAUAGAGUACUAAUUCUAGAACAAAGGCUUCAAUUAGCUGCCUAUACAUGUCUUUGUGUUCGAGUCUCUAUCAGUUUUCUGCAGAAAAUCACGACCAGGCCUAACAUCAAAUUUGAAGUCUCCAGGAAGAAGAUGGGGCCCCACAACAACAAUAAUUCCACGUGGACAAUAAUAAUACCACUAAGCUGACAAACAUCAUCUACAGAUCAGCUUUGAACUACAAGGUGCUCAGAGCAAUUUUGAGAUGACUAGCUGAGAUGAUCCAGUUUCACAGACUACUUGAAUAAGGACUUGAGAUAAACCCUGAACUUUGGCAUUAUACACAGACUGGAUAAUGAAGGAUAUGGUUACCUUUCCUAGAAUUUGACAAUUAACCCCAAAUUUUUCUUUUCAGAAUAAAGAUGCCUUCGCCCAUAUCCAGCAAGAAGCAAUUUUAAGAACACAGCACCCACAUUCCCAAAGAGGUGGUGUGGGCCAGGUGGUUUUUGGUCUUUUUAAUGGGUUUUGGGUCUGGGAUAAUUUUCAUUGUUUAGGAGGGCUGGUUACAAGUUGUUGUUAAGGGUUAGGAAAAGGGCUAAGCAAAGGAGAUUAGAUUUAAGGUUCUAGAGGGUAGAUUAUUGAAUCUACUCUGAAAAGUAAAGAGAGGAUAUAGAUAUGAUAUAGAUAAAAGAUUAUUUAAUCUACUUUUAAAAGACAAUUACUAGUUUUAAAUACUUUACAUUAGAUUGGAUUUUUGUUUAUUGUAUACAAAUUAUAUAUAUAUAUAUAUUGAGAUUGAUAUUGUUAGAAAAUGCCAUACGUAUAUUUCUAAUCUUGUUCAAGAUAUUGUACUUAUGCAGUUCAUUUAACAAUGUAAUGAAAUUUGCUAAUCCUUGAAUGUUAUUAUUACCAACUAUUAGAAUAUAAAGAAAUGAAAGUUAACAGACAUUACCAUCGAACUGGUAGUCAUAUUAGGUAUAAUUUCAAGAUCGAGCAGAUAUAUUUUAGAUAGACAGGUCAUCUUCAAACCCUUCAGAGAUCUACAGAAUAUGGCAUUUAAAAUGUUUUAAUAACUUAGAAUUUUUUUCUUUUCUUAUGACUAUGAGACAUGUCGGCUCCUGGCAGUACUAAUCUACUUCAGAGAAAAUAUGGGCAUUGAAGAAACUGCAUAUGGAGUUAACUUUCAUUGUGGCAAAAGUUAGCCACUGGACAACAAAGUGUCCUCGAAUCGACUGCUGACAAACAGGACAAAAUGGACAGGCAGGACAUGAAACAAAGGACUACUGAUUCUUGCCAAGACAAGUGUGGUUGUGGCUUUAGCAACAGGCAUCCUCGGAGGCCAGAACAGUAUGGCAUCAUCCCUGAAGUGGCCUUUGCAAUCCAGAAAAGGUACAGUGCCCCUUUCUUCGAAGGCAGUUGAACUGGCAGUGGGUCGAUGGCUUCUGGUGUGCAGUGGAACAGCAGCUGAAACAGUUAUUCUUGAAGAGUAACUAAGCUGACAGAGUCUAACCUCUCAAUGGUAAACCGGCAUUUAAUAAAAGAGAUGAAGCCACCCACAAGCCAAGAAGAAUGGACAGCUGAAUUAAAAAAAAACAUCAACAAUUUCCAGAAUUUAAAAUCCUGAAUCAUGACGUGACACUAGGGGAAUUCAGGUGUUUCUGGUAUAUGGACUGCUCUCACCCAAAAUGAGGUUGAACUGUUGGCCUUGUGUACAUCCUACUUCACAAAUGAGUCUGUCAGAUACGCUAAGCCUAUAGGCUGAAGAUGAUGUCCCAACACUGUGGAGAAACCUCAGGUGACUGUCCAGGCAGCUGGCUGUUUCUGUCAACUCACAAUUUUUUUUGGAAGCCGCUUGCGUGCACUUCCUUUUUUUUAGGUAAUGUUAUUUCCUUCUUGGGUCUCUGAGGGAGUUGAAGAUUAGAUAAUUAUAGUUAAAAAUUAGUAGUUAUAGUUUUCUUUGUUAUGAAUUUUAGAAAAGAAACUCACUAAAGAGGUGUAAGUGUAUAAAUUUGAAAGACAUUAUAAGAUAGUUCUGGUAAUAUAAGUUAGGAUAGAAAGUGAAUCAGGUACAUUUUGGAUUUACCAAAAUAGGAUAGAUAAUGGAAUAUUUUCUCUGAGUUUGUCAAAUGCAAAUGGACUAGACAUUGUUUAGUUAUUUAUUGCUUGUAUAUAUUAUUUAUAGUUAUUGUACUUAUUGUCUAUAGUUUUUCUUAUGUUAGUUAUAACUUUUUUCCUUUUUUCUUCUUUUUAUUAGAAUAGAAGGGGGAAAUAUGGUGAUAUUUUAUUUGUGCUGAAAUGUGAUUUUAUUUGUAUGUUAAUAAAUAAAGUUGCCUGGGGAUCAGAGCUAAGAGCAAGCCAUUUAGCAGAAGUCAGUGAUGGUGGCACACGCCCUUAAUCCGAUCACAUGGCAGGAAGAGUCUCUGUGUGUUCAAGGACACAGCCAGCAUGGUGACACAUGCCUUUAAUCCCAGUACCAACCAUAGAGACUGGAGGUCUGUAUAGACAGGCAGUGACGAGAAAGUCAUAUGGUUGUGUUUAGAACCAAUGAGAAGAAAGAAAGACAAUGAACAGAACAGAAAGGCAAUGAAAAGACAAGACACAGGAAGAAGUUCUCUCUCAGGGGAAGUACAGCAGCGAGUGGUAAGAUAAGGUGGUCUUAGCUCUUGGCUACUGCUCUGAUCUCUGGGCUUUUAGC